RNAcentral lists this non-coding RNA (30 nucleotides) under Mus musculus (house mouse). Lineage: Eukaryota; Metazoa; Chordata; Mammalia; Rodentia; Muridae. The record is from RNAcentral.
UACAAGCCUGGGAACAUAGCAUUUCAAAGA